UUUUGGAACUCCUCCUGGACAGAAAGCUGAGAUGUAGACAUGUCCUGGAAAAGGAGGACAUCUGGUCACCCUGCAGCUAACUUCUCUCUUCAUGGAGAGGCGGUUGAUGCAGUCUAGCAAAGGCCUUGUAUACUUCUCAGAUCGUGAUAAAAUCACUUUGGCACAAGACCCGGGUCUCUUCUUGAGGAUUUUCCAACUGAAAACGGAUGUUGCUAUCAGAAACCAGUGAGGAUGUUUGUAAAAGUUGGCUAUCGGUUCCACAGAAGUGGAAGACCUUUGGAUGGUCUCUGCCUACCAAAAUGCCUAGGAAGAGGAUGUCCAGGCAAAAGCGUCCUUUUCCCCGUAGGAUUUCCUCACCAACUGUAGAAACUGUGGGAUAUUUGAGGUAUGGACUUUGCUUUUGGUUGCAUGGAGAGGGCAUCAGAUCUUUUGGCUGUGAGGUUUAGCAUCCCCGAAAGAGGAGGCCCAAUCGAUGCCACUCUUUAAUGGUUGACUGUGGCAGUCCAAAAGCCACUGUUACUGUAUAUCCUAUGACUCUGCAAGGACCACUUGAACUACCAAAACCCUCCUUGAAAACCUAAAAUGCCUGGAAUUCCACUUCUGGUUCUCAAACAACGGAAUAUGAGUGGAUGCAGUCCAAGAAAGCAAAAGAUUUGUGAGGAACCAUAAUGGAACAUGAAUCCAGAGAAUGGAAUAUUUUAUCAACUUUGGUGAUGACUUUGCCAUGGAUAUGAAUUGCAUGGAUUACACAGACCACAGAAGAAAUGGACCACAGCUCUGAAAUCUGGAUCAGGACCACUUUCUCAGAGGCAAAGAUAUGGAACUGCAGUUUGCAAAGCUGGAUGUCACGUUUGGGUCUAAUCUCUGCUUUUUCUUGGCUCAGCCCUAAGAACAGGCCUUGGAAAUCAGAAAUGAUUAUACACUUUGAGCUUUUCCACUUGAAGUACAUGUGGGGGGAAUGAGACUGAGUUUUGAAAUGAGGUUUGUGGGUGUGCAUUCCCCUACAAAGGGAAGGAUCUUGGAACAUUGCAUGGCUUGGAUAUUGGAAUUAUGAUUUGAGUGGAACAGAUGGGAAAUUUGGGUCAGUAGUCUGCUGAUGAUGCAUAUGGACUGCAAAUGAGAAAAUCAAUGGAAGCGGAUUGGAUUGCAACCCCAUGGUACUGCAGUCCAGAACCAGGAUUGCCUCGUGUCACCAGAACUGGGUUUUUCCCAGAUCACCACCAGCUUGGUUGUUUCCAAACUAUGGCCACUCUUCACAGGGCUUUUUCUUGACAAAGUUUGUUCAGAGGAGGAUUUGCCACUGCUUUCCUCUGAGGCUGAGAGAGUGUGACGACCAAAG
Molecule: long non-coding RNA, 1339 nt
Organism: Sceloporus undulatus (fence lizard)
Lineage: Eukaryota; Metazoa; Chordata; Lepidosauria; Squamata; Phrynosomatidae
Exons: 3
Source: RefSeq, a predicted model, not a curated record